This 253-nucleotide ribosomal RNA is filed under the name uncultured bacterium. Its description in RNAcentral is "partial 16S ribosomal RNA". It matches the Rfam family "Bacterial small subunit ribosomal RNA", at positions 524 to 776 of the family's 1533-position model. The record is from RNAcentral.
GACAGAGGAGGCAAGCGUUAUCCGGAAUGAUUGGGCGUAAAGAGCCUGUAGGUGGCUGUUCAAGUCCGCCGUCAAAUCCCAGGGCUCAACCCUGGACAGGCGGUGGAAACUACCAAGCUGGAGUACCGUAGGGGCAGAGGGAAUUUCCGGUGGAGCGGUGAAAUGCGUAGAGAUCGGGAAGAACACCAGCGGCGAAAGCACUCUGCUGGGCCGACACUGACGCUGAGAGGCGAAAGCUAGGGGAGCAAAUGGG